AAUACCUGAUGGUAUGAUGAGAUUGCAUGAUAGCAUCAUUAAAGAUUUAUCGGUGUACGAUGGGGAUGCGUUCCAUUAGGUAGUAGGCGGGGUAACGGCCCACCUAGCCAACGAUGGAUAGGGGUUCUGAGAGGAAGGUCCCCCACAUUGGAACUGAGACACGGUCCAAACUCCUACGGGAGGCAGCAGUGAGGAAUAUUGGUCAAUGGACGAGAGUCUGAACCAGCCAAGUAGCGUGAAGGAUGAAGGUCCUACGGAUUGUAAACUUCUUUUAUAAGGGAAUAAACCCUCCCACGUGUGGGAGCUUGUAUGUACCUUAUGAAUAAGCAUCGGCUAACUCCGUGCCAGCAGCCGCGGUAAUACGGAGGAUGCGAGCGUUAUCCGGAUUUAUUGGGUUUAAAGGGAGCGCAGACGGGUCGUUAAGUCAGCUGUGAAAGUUUGGGGCUCAACCUUAAAAUUGCAGUUGAUACUGGCGUCCUUGAGUGCGGUUGAGGUGUGCGGAAUUCGUGGUGUAGCGGUGAAAUGCUUAGAUAUCACGAAGAACUCCGAUUGCGAAGGCAGCACACUAAUCCGUAACUGACGUUCAUGCUCGAAAGUGUGGGUAUCAAACAGGAUUAGAUACCC
Molecule: ribosomal RNA, 624 nt
Filed under: uncultured bacterium
Lineage: Bacteria
Description: bacterial SSU rRNA
Rfam family: Bacterial small subunit ribosomal RNA
Source: RNAcentral